UUCUUUUAGAUACCUUAAAGUAUCUCUCUGUUUCCAGAGAUUGUGAUUUAUCUCCACCUCUACCUCGAUAUAACACUGUCCUCGGGAGUCAAAAA
Non-coding RNA from Chelonoidis abingdonii (Abingdon island giant tortoise), 95 nucleotides. The record is from RefSeq and is a predicted model, not a curated record. Lineage: Eukaryota; Metazoa; Chordata; Testudines; Testudinidae.